RNAcentral lists this transfer RNA (67 nucleotides) under Marmota monax (woodchuck). RNAcentral describes it as "tRNA.Ala". The record is from RNAcentral. Lineage: Eukaryota; Metazoa; Chordata; Mammalia; Rodentia; Sciuridae.
GGGGUUGUAGCUCAGUGGUAGAGCACUUGCCUAGCAUGUGUGAGGCAGAGUUUGAUUCUUAGCAUCA